AGUGAACGCUGGCGGUAGGCCUAACACAUGCAAGUCGAACGGCAGCACAGUAAGAGCUUGCUCUUACGGGUGGCGAGUGGCGGACGGGUGAGGAAUACAUCGGAAUCUACUUUUUCGUGGGGGAUAACGUAGGGAAACUUACGCUAAUACCGCAUACGACCUACGGGUGAAAGCAGGGGAUCUUCGGACCUUGCGCGAUUGAAUGAGCCGAUGUCGGAUUAGCUAGUUGGCGGGGUAAAGGCCCACCAAGGCGACGAUCCGUAGCUGGUCUGAGAGGAUGAUCAGCCACACUGGAACUGAGACACGGUCCAGGCUCCUACGGGAGGCAGCAGUGGGGAAUAUUGGACAAUGGGCGCAAGCCUGAUCCAGCCAUACCGCGUGGGUGAAAAAGGCCUUCGGGUUGUAAAGCCCUUUUGUUGGGAAAGAAAAGCAGCAGGUUAAUACCCCGCUGUUCUGACGGUACCCAAAGAAUAAGCACCGGCUAACUUCGUG
This 492-nucleotide ribosomal RNA is filed under the name uncultured bacterium. Its description in RNAcentral is "partial 16S ribosomal RNA". It matches the Rfam family "Bacterial small subunit ribosomal RNA", at positions 29 to 507 of the family's 1533-position model. The record is from RNAcentral.